UACUGCUAUGGCCUACCUUUCUGCCGGGGACGAGCUCCUGGGCUUAACUGUCCGGGACUCGGAAUCGGCGAGGUUACUUUGAGUAAAUUAGAGUGUUCAAAGCAAGCCUACGCUCUGAAUACAUUAGCAUGGAAUAACACGAUAGGACUCUGGCUUAUCUUGUUGGUCUGUAAGACCGGAGUAAUGAUUAAGAGGGACAGUCGGGGGCAUUCGUAUUUCAUUGUCAGAGGUGAAAUUCUUGGAUUUAUGAAAGACGAACUUCUGCGAAAGCAUUUGCCAAGGAUGUUUUCAUUAAUCAAGAACGAAAGUUGGGGGCUCGAAGACGAUUAGAUACCGUCGUAGUCUCAACCAUAAACGAUGCCGACUA
RNAcentral lists this ribosomal RNA (367 nucleotides) under uncultured eukaryote. Its description in RNAcentral is "SSU rRNA". It matches the Rfam family "Eukaryotic small subunit ribosomal RNA", at positions 677 to 1048 of the family's 1831-position model. The record is from RNAcentral.